UACUUUUUCUGGAACAAAUAAACUUAGCAUAAAUAGUUAAAAUAUUAAGAGUUGUAAUUAAGGGAAAUUUCAGCUCAAUGUGACUUCAACAGUUUAAAAAAUGUAUUACUGCACAUAAGACCAUGGAGAGAGGAAUUGGGAGACCCAGAAUUGAUUGGGUCAGAAAUUGAAAAUGAUAUUAUCAGUGACCCAGGUUUGAAUGUCUCUCUUCACAGCAUUGACUUCACUAAUGGAUGUGACCUGGUUGGCAGCAGCAGCUUGGACAACAUGCUUGUUUGCAGUGGGUGGUAGAGAGAGGCAGGUUUUGCUUUCCCAGAAACCCUGAAAAAGGUAAUCAAACCUAAAUUUCCUUAGCCUUCUUCUUCCAUGAGCAAAUCACUAGCAGAUGAUUGCUAGCAAGGUGUUACUAUUACAAUGAACCCCUAAGUGUCAGAGAAAGAGUUAGUUUGGGGAAAUAUCCUCUCCACCACAAUCUUAGUUAUUUAAGUCAAUUUAACAAUAUAUUGAAAUAUUUUUCUUAGAAGUUUGAAGUUCCAUUAAACAGUAACAAUUACAGAAAUUAUAGGUAGCCUUUAGUUCUACAAGUGACAUCUCAAGAGGAAGAUGAUUCAUCAAUUUCAAACUUUCCUUGCAAGUAAUACUGGAUGAAAAUUAACUUGGCAAACAUAAUUAAUAAUCAUGGGUUAUUAAUUACUUCCGCAAGGUGGGUGUGCUGAUUUUAAAAGGCUUGAAUAAAACAUAAAUUUCCUUAAUUUGAUACUGUAAAUGGAAUAAUUUGGUAACGUAAAUGGUAAUAUUUAAGUGAUUUUUGCGUCAGAUCUUACAACUUAAAAUAUUUUUCUAAAAUUAGUUUUUGUACCAUCUCUCCAGCAUGUUCCAGCCUAUAUCAGUCAGUCCAGGCUUCUAUAACUAAAUAUUAUGGACUGAAUGGCUUACACAACAGACAUUUCUCACAAUUGUAGAAGCUGGAAAGUGCAAGAUUAAGGUACUAGCAAAUUUGUUUCCUGGUGAGGGUCCUCUUCCCAGCUUGCUGUAUCCUCAUAUAGCAGAUAGAGAGAGAAGGAGAGAGAGAGAGAGCACUGUAUAGACUCUCUUCCUGUUCUUAUAAGGACACUAAUUCCAUUGAUGAGGGCCCUAUGCUCAUGACUUUGUCUAAACCUAAUUAAUUCUCAAAGGCCUCACUUUCCAAUACUGUCCCAUUGUGGGGUAGGGCUUUAACAUACGAAAUUUGAAGGAAAAGGAAUAUUCAGUCUAGAACAAAGCCCCAUAAAUUUCAAAAAGCUGUGGGACAGGAGGGAAUGGGGAUGGUAUUCAAUGGUACCACAUCCAAGCAAGUCUUGUAUGGUUAAAACAAAUCAAUAUAAUAACAUGAAAUUUUACACAGAAACCUAUCUGAUUAUAAAUUGUAUGCUUACCAUAAUCAACACUGUUAUACAUUGUUUUAAAAAUACUUAAUAGUGUUCUUUGUUUAACCAAAUAAUAGAGGCAUUAACUGGUUUCCCAGUGCUGCCAAAAGAAAUUGCACAAAAUUUGUGGCUUAAAAUAGUAAAUAAACAAACAAAAAAUUCU
Molecule: small RNA, 1569 nt
Filed under: Pongo abelii (Sumatran orangutan)
Lineage: Eukaryota; Metazoa; Chordata; Mammalia; Primates; Hominidae
Description: sense intronic
Source: RNAcentral